Molecule: ribosomal RNA, 772 nt
Filed under: uncultured Neocallimastigales
Lineage: Eukaryota; Fungi; Neocallimastigomycota; Neocallimastigomycetes; Neocallimastigales
Description: partial large subunit ribosomal RNA
Rfam family: Eukaryotic large subunit ribosomal RNA
Source: RNAcentral
CGCAUCUGUGCAUGCAGCAUAUCAAUAAGCGGAGGAAAAGAAACUAACAAGGAUUCCCUCAGUAACGGCGAGUGAAGCGGGAAGAGCUCAAAUUUGAAAUCUUCAAGGUUUUACCUUGACGAAUUGUAGUUUAAAGAAGUGUUUUCUGCUGAAGUUUUGGUAAAAGUUCUUUGGAAUAGGACAUCAUAGAGGGUGAGAAUCCCGUAUUUGACCAUUAUUUUCAGCUUUGUGAUACACUUUCAAAGAGUCGGAUUGUUUGGGAAUGCAGUCCAAAAUGGGUGGUAAAUUUCAUCUAAAGCUAAAUAUUGGCGAGAGACCGAUAGCGAACAAGUACCGUGAGGGAAAGAUGAAAAGAACUUUGAAAAGAGAGUUAAAUAGUACGUGAAAUUGUCAAAAGGGAAGCGUUUAACACCAGUGUUGUUUUCUGAAAAUCAACCUCUGUUAGCUUUAUGCAUGUUUGUUUAGACCUAAUCAGCUAUCUUGCAUGUUCUAUUGUUUGCAGUGGUGCACUUUUCAGUUUACAGGUCAACAUCAGUUUUUUUUACCGUAAAAAAGUUAAAGAAAGGUAGCUCAUGGCUCCGGUCGUGAGUGUUACUAGUCUUUUUCCUAUGCGGUAGGAGAGACUGAGGUCUGCAGUGUAGGCUAUUUGGCUAGAUACUCAGGUGCUAUGUGAUACCAUUUCAUAAACAACUUGUUGAUUAUGUUUUGUCUAUUGCAUACUCGCUUGUACUAUCAUACCUACGCUUAGGAUGUUGACGAUCAGCUGAGCGCG